RNAcentral lists this transfer RNA (74 nucleotides) under Bacteroidales bacterium. Its description in RNAcentral is "tRNA-Cys". It matches the Rfam family "tRNA". From Rfam's summary of the family: Transfer RNA (tRNA) molecules are approximately 80 nucleotides in length. Their secondary structure includes four short double-helical elements and three loops (D, anti-codon, and T loops). The record is from RNAcentral. RNAcentral also lists the same sequence under 1 other name. Lineage: Bacteria; Pseudomonadati; Bacteroidota; Bacteroidia; Bacteroidales.
GGGCUGUAAGUAUCGAUGGCUGAUACACUGCUGACAAAGCAGAGAGGCGGGUUCGACUCCCGCACCGCCCGCCA